AUGAUGCUCGUCACCUUCUCCGCGUUCGUGCCCACGACCAUGGUGGCGUUCCGCGCGGCGGGCGCGUCGUGCGCUGGCACCACCGGCACGUGGGGGCUGAGCUCACAGACAGUGCCUUUCAUGGGGCUGUACCUUGUGGCGAUCGGGUGCGGCGGGGUGCGGUCAUCGUUGCUGCUGUUCGGAACAGAGCAGUUCGACGAUGACAGCGCGGCGGACCGGGAGGGCAAGGCAUCCUUCUUCAGCUGGUUCUACCUCUGCGUGAGCUUCGGCCCCAUCAUCUCUGGCGUGUUCCUUGUCUGGAUCCAGCAGAACGUCAGCUGGGGCCUCGGCUUCGGCAUCACCACUGCCUGCAUCGCGCUCGCCUUCGUGCUAACCACGCCCAUGUACAAGCGUCGCAUGCCUGCCGGCAUGCCGCUCAAGAGCCUCUGCCAAGUCGUCCUUGCCGCGUGCAAGGAUCAGAGUCAAGGUGCCAGCCAAAGGCGGACACCUCUAUGA
Molecule: ribosomal RNA, 495 nt
Filed under: Triticum aestivum (bread wheat)
Lineage: Eukaryota; Viridiplantae; Streptophyta; Magnoliopsida; Poales; Poaceae
Description: partial small subunit ribosomal RNA
Source: RNAcentral